This 914-nucleotide ribosomal RNA is filed under the name uncultured archaeon. RNAcentral's name for it is "bacterial SSU rRNA". It matches the Rfam family "Archaeal small subunit ribosomal RNA", at positions 1 to 922 of the family's 1478-position model. The record is from RNAcentral.
UUCCGGUUGAUCCUGCCGGACCUGACUGCUAUCGGAUUGAUACUAAGCCAUGCGAGUUAUUGUAGCAAUACAAGGCAGACGGCUCAGUAACGCGUAGUCAACCUAACCUAUGGACGGGAAUAACCUCGGGAAACUGAGAAUAAUGCCCGAUAGAACACUAUGCCUGGAAUGGUUUGUGUUCAAAAUGAUUUAUCGCCGUAGGGUGGGACUGCGGCCUAUCAGUUUGUUGGUGAGGUAAUGGCCCACCAAGACUAUUACAGGUACGGGCUCUGAGAGGAGUGGCCCGGAGAUGGGUACUGAGACACGGACCCAGGCCCUAUGGGGCGCAGCAGGCGAGAAAACUUUGCAAUGUGCGAAAGCACGACAAGGUUAAUCCGAGUGGUUUCUGCUAAAGGAACCUUUUGUCGGUCCUAGAAACACCGAUGAAUAAGGGGUGGGCAAGUUCUGGUGUCAGCCGCCGCGGUAAAACCAGCACCUCAAGUGGUCAGGAUGAUUAUUGGGCCUAAAGCAUCCGUAGCCUGCUUUGUUAGUUUUCGGUUAAAUCUGUACGCUCAACGUACAGGCUGCCGGAAAUACUGCAAAGCUAGGGAGUGGGAGAGGUAGACGGUACUCGGUAGGAAGGGGUAAAAUCCUUUGAUCUAUUGAUGACCACCUGUGGCGAAGGCGGUCUACCAGAACACGUCCGACGGUGAGGGAUGAAAGCUGGGGGAGCAAACCGGAUUAGAUACCCGGGUAGUCCCAGCUGUAAACCACGCAAACUCAGUGAUGCAUUGGCUUGUGGCCAAUGCAGUGCUGCAGGGAAGCCGUUAAGUUUGCCGCCUGGGAAGUACGUACGCAAGUAUGAAACUUAAAGGAAUUGGCGGGGGAGCACCACAAGGGGUGAAGCCUGCGGUUCAAUUGGAGUCAACGCCGGA